This is a long non-coding RNA of Bicyclus anynana (squinting bush brown), 3001 nucleotides long. RefSeq lists it as uncharacterized. The record is from RefSeq and is a predicted model, not a curated record. NCBI's taxonomy places the organism in Eukaryota, Metazoa, Arthropoda, Insecta, Lepidoptera, Nymphalidae. The transcript has 2 exons.
AACAUGGGGAGAGAACAACACAGCGGACGUCCGCGCGCGACACUGCCGACAGACUGCGGGCUCGCGUGUCAAUGUACCGUGUCGGAGCUAAGGCGGAUUACACAAUACAGCCUCAACUCACGCUAAAACCAGCUUGUUGCUCUUUAGCGAUUACGUUACAUUACCGGACGGUGUUUUAUUUUGACGUGGGUACGCCUUUAAAGCUUCCAUAAUAAGUUAAACAGAUGACAAUAAAAUCGGGAGAUACAGCUUACUGUUUUAGCAAAAUAUCGUAUUUAAUACAACCUCAACUCACGCUAAAACCAGCUUGUUGCUCUUUAGCGAUUACGUUACAUUACCGGACGGUGUUUUAUUUUGACGUGGGUAUGCCUUUAAAGCUUCCAUAAUAAGUUAAACAGAUGACAAUAAAAUCGGGAGAUAAAGCUUCCUGUUUUAGCAAAAUAUCGUAUUUAAUACAGCCUCAACUCACGCUAAAACAAGCUCGUUGCUCUUUAGCGAUUACGUUACAUUACCGGACGGUGUUUUAUUUUGACGUGGGUACGCCUUUAAAGCUUCCAUAAUAAGAUAAACAGAUGACAAUAAAAUCGGGAGAUACAGCGUACUGUUUUAGCAAAAUAUCGUAUUUAAUACAGCCUCAACUCACGCUAAAACCAGCUUGUUGCUCUUUAGCGAUUACGUUGCAUUACUGGACGGUGUUUUAUUUUGACGUGAGUACGCCUUUAAAGCUUCCAUAAUAAGAUAAACAGAUGACAAUAAAAUCGGGAUAUACAGCUUAGUGUUUUAGCAACAUAUCGUCAAAAAUUUCAUUAUACCACUAUUAAAAAACAUUGACACGUGAAAUAUAUAGCCUUAUUCACGGCAGUCUCAGUGACUGUCAACUCAUACUGCUAAAACCAGCAGCUAAAACUAAUUGAAGUGAUAACUUCUUAUAGGAGGGUAACCCACUUUGUAACGUAACGCGUUACGGCGCCCCUCUAUCUGGCUUUCCUUUCUCUCACGCAUACGGCACCUUUUUUUUAAUAUCUGAAUUUUGUUACAUUACUUUUACGUAAGCACUUUUAAUUAUUUUUUUCUAUAUUGUGAGAGAAUACGAAAAAUCCGGAGACAGUUUAAAAUUGCCACUUCACAUCAAGUCUAAAAUGAUAGUACUUACGCAGCUUCAUAUCUAAAGGAUCAAAUUACUUGCAUAACAGCAUCCAGAGUUUAAUUACACUACCAGAUAACUAAAGGAUGAAAGAACGUAGAGAAAGCGAGACGUGUCGCGCGCUACGGAUGGGAGAGCAUCCUCAUUUCGUUCUGUAUUCGUAUAAAUACGUAUUCACCAAUUCUUUUCUAUCCAACUACGUAGGUACUCAUUUCGGAAAAUUGAUCAUACAUCGUACACAUUACAAAAAACCUGGUUUUUUUUAACGAAUUUAAACGUAAUAAGGUUUUGUUGCUUAAAACGUAAAUUGUCUUUGCUCUGACACCUAACGCAUUUCUAAAAUGCAAUAAAAACCCACUUAAAAACGAAAAGAGAGAAAAUAACAUAAUGUAAUAUUACAUACUAGCAGACACUUAGAAAAGAAAGAAUGAAAAGUUUAUUCAGAAUACUCGUCAAACAAAACAAGGAAAAGAUAAAAACAAUGUUUAAAAUACUUUACAAAAAAUACUUUUUACUUUAGCAUGAUGUAAUCCUAAAAGGGUCUCCACCAUGAGUCAUGUAGGCUGUAUUUUAGGUUACAUAGGCUAGAAAUAAAUAGGCUUUCUAUUGAUAAGAAAAUUAUCAAAAUCGCUUCAUUAGAUCUAGAAAUUACCCCCUACAACCACUUGAACAUUACCUCUAUAAUAAUUAUUAGUAUAGAAAAAUCAAUCAAGCUUUAUAUAUUUAAUUUAACUCUCACGUUACCAUUAUAAACAUAGAUUUAUAUUCCACGAGACAGGCGAGAGCAGAAAAGAUGGUCGUAGGUACUCGGCCUACAUUCACCAUCCGUUGUGCGAACGCAUGUGUACUCUCUCGCUCGCUCCGCUGUACGUACUCAUUUACAUAAUAAGGACGGAAUAUGUAAUUCAAUGACGAAAACCCACCGUGAAUAUAGAAUGUACUUUAUAACUGACUGCUUUGAGUCCCAUUGCGGUGGCUACAGGCUUUAUAAUUAUGUUUGCGCUAAUCGAAUGUUAAGUUGUAGUUAACACUUUCAUUACCGCUACGAUUUUCACGAUGUUUUCUCGGGAGCCGCCUACAUUUUACGUUGGACUCGCUAGGUGAGUCGCCGGCGCUGCGAUACGAAUCAUUCGACUCGCCACGCGAGUUCAGUGGCAUUGCGUUAGGGUAAAAACUAUGUUCUGUUAUUUUUGUGGCCGUGACAGUGUACGUUACGUGUUUAAAGCAAUUAACUAGUAUAUGGUGUAAUUUAACAAAAAGAAAAUGGCAAGAAACACUAUAAAUAAACGAAAAGGCCACCACAAAACACAAUAACAUAGAACACAAGAAUCUCAAAGUCCAGAAAACGUUUGCCAGGGGUUAAAACAGUAGGUACUCCAACAGGUCCAGUAAUCGAAAGCCAAGUCACAAUGAUAGAAAACAAAUAUACGCGUGCGAUAAGGAAAGGGUCGUGCUUAACACUAAUCUAUAUAUAAAGAAAGUCGGGUUUGUUACAACACUUCACUCGAGAUUGACCAAUGAGAGCUUGGCAAAAACAAUGUUAUCAGUGCUUUUAUUGCUUACUAACCAGAGCGUUCAUGUUAAAAAAUACCGGUUCCUUUUGUUUUGCCGGCAAUUUUUAACAAUGCGAAGGGAUCCUCUUUCAGUUGUAACUCUUAAAGUAAUAGACCGAGAGUUGAGUUUGUGUUUUCUGCACCGUUCGUUUAACAAAAACGCAAGGACAGACUCAAAAACUUAGAAGUACCCAUUUGGUGAACACCAAAUUCGAGCCCCUACAAGGUGUCGAACACAAUCCGCCGUUGUUUUACGAGUGAAUGUGACUUUUGGUAAAAUGAAAAUAAAAGUAUCUACCUUUUA